Molecule: long non-coding RNA, 1289 nt
Organism: Anolis carolinensis (green anole)
Lineage: Eukaryota; Metazoa; Chordata; Lepidosauria; Squamata; Anolidae
Exons: 2
Source: RefSeq, a predicted model, not a curated record
ACCUUGUGAUUCCGGCCAUGAAAGCCUUUGACAACACAUUAACUGCGUCAGCUUUGUCUUCGCUCUCUAACCUGUGAAGGUCCUUUCAGACCCUGAUCCUGUCCUCUGGGGUUCUGUACUGCUUUCAAGCCAAGGGUCACCCACUCUUUUCUUCCCUGGACAGAGAGCCAUUUGGUUUCCCUCGAUAAAUACAACAAGUGGAGCAGAGCACUCAAUGGGGAAAAGGCCGGCAUUGUCAGGCGCGGGAUGCUCUGUUCUUUCCUGAAGGAUGUUUCCUCCCAAAGGACAAUGAGGUCUUUGUUGAGAAAACGUCUCUUUUUGUCGUUCUUGUUCCAUUGUCGAGCCGAUUAGUCUGGUAAAGCUGCUCCCUUUAUCAAUUAAUAACUGUGGCAAGUCAAGCUUGGCUUUCUGCCGGCGUCAUUAUUAUUAUUAAUGCUUCAAAACCCCGACACCUAAAUCCCGUGGGCAUUUUCAGAAGCGGAGCCUGCACGGAGAGGACUGCAGACCGUCCGUUUUGAGAGAGGAGCGCAAACCUAUUCUGGGACCCGCAAGGAGGUUUCCGCGCCUAUGAAUCACCGCUAAUGGGAGCAACGCUGGGCGCUUCGGAGGCAGACCCAGCCGCCUGCAAGACUUUGAUCCCAACGUCCUCCGCUGCCAAGCAGCACCCGUCAACGUGCUUUGUGCCAACCGAGAGAGACAGGCGUCUCCUUUGAACGUUCUGCACAUCCGAGCAGCCUUUCUUCGCCGCGCCUUGCAUGAGGAAGGAGCCUUUAUCCUCGUCUGCAGGAGGCAGGUUAUUGAGUUGCUAAAGGCAGGAAACACCCAGGGACACAUUUGGCCUUUUCAUUCAUUCACCGCAAGGUAAAGGCCAGGUGAGAUCAAUGCCGCUUCCUCUUUCUGCAGAGCCAAGGAGACGUCCAUCCACUCUCAUUGACCGGACUUCCCAAGGCCGGCCUCGCCUCGCUUGACCGGUCAGCCGAGAGGAAGCCAGGGAAGGAAAAACCCUUGCCUGGACUUUAUUCCACCCAGUUCGAUCACAUUCAUUAUUUUCCAUAAUGUGUCAGGAGAGAAAAGGAGAAUUCUGCAUCUUGACAAGGAGUCAAUAUCUCUCUCUCUCUCCUACACACCAUUCCUCAUUUUCUGUCUGAAUUAACUCAUUUUGUAACCUGUGUUUAAGGGAAGGGGGUGGCUCCUGUGAUUUCCUCAAGUUUUUCUCAUUCCUGAAUGGCUGUUCAGCUUGAAAGGUAUUGUAUAUAUCUAUAUACAUAAAAGUCAAUAUAUAUAGUUUG